UGGGGAAUAUUGCACAAUGGGCGCAAGCCUGAUGCAGCCAUGCCGCGUGUGUGAAGAAGGCCUUCGGGUUGUAAAGCACUUUCAGCGAGGAGGAAGGUGGUGAGCUUAAUACGCUCAUCAAUUGACGUUACUCGCAGAAGAAGCACCGGCUAACUCCGUGCCAGCAGCCGCGGUAAUACGGAGGGUGCAAGCGUUAAUCGGAAUUACUGGGCGUAAAGCGCACGCAGGCGGUUUGUUAAGUCAGAUGUGAAAUCCCCGGGCUCAACCUGGGAACUGCAUUUGAAACUGGCAAGCUAGAGUCUCGUAGAGGGGGGUAGAAUUCCAGGUGUAGCGGUGAAAUGCGUAGAGAUCUGGAGGAAUACCGGUGGCGAAGGCGGCCCCCUGGACGAAGACUGACGCUCAGGUGCGAAAGCGUGGGGCAGCAAACAGGAUUAGAUACCCUGGUAGUCCACGCUGUAAACGAUGUCGAUUUUGGAGGUUGUGCCCUUGAGGCGUGGCUUCCGGAGCUAACGCGUUAAAUCGACCGCCUGGGGAGUACGGCCGCAAGGUUAAAACUUAAAGGAAUUGACGGGGUCAUAGCUG
RNAcentral lists this ribosomal RNA (582 nucleotides) under uncultured bacterium. Its description in RNAcentral is "partial 16S ribosomal RNA". It matches the Rfam family "Bacterial small subunit ribosomal RNA", at positions 355 to 932 of the family's 1533-position model. The record is from RNAcentral.